Molecule: RNase P RNA, 295 nt
Filed under: bovine gut metagenome
Description: Bacterial RNase P class B
Rfam family: Bacterial RNase P class B (bases 1-259)
About the family: Ribonuclease P (RNase P) is a ubiquitous endoribonuclease, found in archaea, bacteria and eukarya as well as chloroplasts and mitochondria.
Source: RNAcentral
UUUAUGUCUGAAAAGUUGAGGAAAGUCCAUGCUCACACAGACUGUGAUGUCUGUAGUGUUUGUGCUUAGGAAAAAAAUAACCUAAGGUAGUUAAUACUAACGACAAAAAGGAAGUCUAAGUUUUUUAAAUAUGACUUCUUUUUAUAAAGUGCCACAGAGACGAAUAAGGCGAAAGCUGGAAAUGAAACGAGGUAAACUCCGCAAGUGAGAAACCCAAAUUAUGGUAGGGGAGCUGGAGAACAGAACAUGGCUUAUAAAUAUUAUUUGUUAUUAUAGAGGUGUUUAAGGUGAAAGA